Homo sapiens (human) is the source of this 1915-nucleotide long non-coding RNA. Ensembl annotates it as long intergenic non-protein coding RNA 1257. NCBI's taxonomy places the organism in Eukaryota, Metazoa, Chordata, Mammalia, Primates, Hominidae. The record is from Ensembl.
AUCAGCUUUUAUGUUCAGAAGGCAGGGCACACCUGGAAGCUGUUGUCGAGGGAUGGCCUGAUUGAGCUCGUGAGGCCCUGGGCGUGCGGGUGUGGAAUAUCCUGCUCCAAUCAAAGCCAUGUCACCUGCGUUGUCCAGUGAAACGUCAGCGGACAGGCGCUGCCCGGGCUCCAGGGAGCUCCUCACUGAGGCUCACUCCCUGUGCCUCUGCCAUCAGCACAGGGGGACAUGCCUGGCUGCCUGUGGGACCAGGGAGGACGCGCGGUGCGGGAGCAGAGCCAGCCACACUGCCGCUGCUGCACUGUUCAUCUGAGUGGCGCAAGAACUUGUCAGUGCCUUUAAUCUGAGGGAUGAGUCUUCAGGAGAGUUUGUUGUCAGGAUUUAACACUUACUCUUGGAAAAGCAGUAAUGUGUGCUGGAAAUGAACCGGGCAGACCCUGCUCCCAUCUCCAUCUGCCUCAAUCUCAGUGCCCUCCACUCCCCACCAGCAGCGCCUGUUACCAAGUCACUGCACAACAACCACAAAUGGAGAGUGGAGGAGCAUCACUUUCCACCCCGGGAUCAUGACGAGGGCUCUGUAACUUCAACAAAUGCGCAGAAGACGCCUGGCCUCGAGCUUGUGCAGCACCUCCGGAGCCUGCCUUCCCUUGUCACCCACGGCACCAUGACUUUGGAGGGUCUCAGCUCAGUCCUCCCUCCAGAGGGGCUGUCAGUGCUGGGCAGAAAAUCACCCUUCAACGACCGGGCCCAGCUGCGCUCUGUCAGAGAGCAGAGAAAGCAGGCCUCCGGGAGGUUCUCACUCCACCAAGGAGACGUCUCCACCCAGCGCUCAUCCUGAGCAAGGGCACUGGGAGGAAGAAAUGCAAUUUUAAAACCUGUGCUGCGAAUGAUGACUUCUGCUGCUUCCGUCUCUGGAGAGCUCUGGGCACUUAACAUCCUUCCACCCACAUGCCCGAGUCUGUGCAGAAACCUCACCCACGCGGAGGAGACUGCAUUUCCCAGUAGCAGAUUCAAGUCCUGAACUUCCUGUACCACAAAGUGUUACCCACACUGGUGGGUGCCAGCCUGAGACUCAACUAUCAGGAAAAACAUGAAGAAUUCAGUCCAUGCCCUCAAAUGCACCCAUGUGGCUCCCAAACGGCAAAUCUCAGCAAUGAGAUUCUCAGCUAGGAAAGUCCACACUGAACUCAUGCAGAGGACAAAGUACAUAGGCCUGGGGUUCUUGGCACCUGAGAUCUCUGAGCAGUUUUCUGAAUUUUCCUAUUUCCUGUUGAAGACAUAGGAACACGUGGCACAGAGGCACAGAGACCUGGAAACCAACAGGUGACCUCAGGGAGGUUUGUGAAGCACCCUGAUGAGAAGACAGUUGGGCAGACGUGGCUGGCUAUUCCCCAAGUCCAUUUUCCCUCCUGGGACCAGAGCUGACUCCAUUUCUCAAUCUGCCUUGCAGUGAGCAUAGUCAGGUGUACAGGCUCACUCAACCCUCGUAAGAGCCAGAAAAGGGGCCGGAUGCGGUGGCUCACCCCUGUAAUCCCAGCACUUUGGGAGGCCGAGAUGGGUGGAUUGCUUGAGCCCAGGAGUUUGAGACCAGCCUGGGCAACAUAGUGAGGCCCCAUCUCUAUUAAAAUUGGUUUUAAAAAAGAGCCAGAAGUGGCAGGUGCUGUUCUCAUCCCCACUUCACAGACGAGGAACCUGAGGGUCCGAGACACAGGAAGCUGCUUGAUCCUCCAGCCAGGAUGAGGCUGAGGGAGAGCCCAGGCCAACCCGCUCUUGGAGUUUGGACUUUCAACCGCGAAUUUUCCACAACCGUAUGGAAAUGUUCGUCCAGGGGUUCUGGAAACACUCAGUCCCCAUGGUCUGUCUUCUGUUUUCCUAUUUUUGGUAAGCAUUAAAAACAAAACAAAACAAAACAAAA